UACAGAGGGUGCAAGCGUUGUUCGGAAUUACUGGGCGUAAAGGGCGCGUAGGCGGCCUUCUAAGUCGGACGUGAAAUCCCUCGGCUUAACCGAGGAACUGCGUCCGAUACUGAAAGGCUUGAAUCCGGGAGAGGGAUGUGGAAUUCCAGGUGUAGCGGUGAAAUGCGUAGAUAUCUGGAGGAACACCGGUGGCGAAGGCGGGAUCCUGGGCCAGUACUGACGCUGAGGAGCGAAAGCGUGGGGAGCAAACAGG
This 253-nucleotide ribosomal RNA is filed under the name uncultured bacterium. RNAcentral describes it as "partial 16S ribosomal RNA". It matches the Rfam family "Bacterial small subunit ribosomal RNA", at positions 524 to 776 of the family's 1533-position model. The record is from RNAcentral.